This is a long non-coding RNA of Chelonia mydas (Green sea turtle), 2877 nucleotides long. RefSeq lists it as uncharacterized. The transcript has 4 exons. The record is from RefSeq and is a predicted model, not a curated record. NCBI's taxonomy places the organism in Eukaryota, Metazoa, Chordata, Testudines, Cheloniidae.
CAGGCUAGCCAGUGAUCCAUCCGCUAUAGUCUGCCUUAGCAAUGCUCUAGGGUCACCCCUUCAGUUUGCUUGGUUUUUCACACAGACUUCUUUCCUAACUUUUGAAACACUGUUAAAGUUUUAAGAAAUGGUGAGAUUGCAUUGAAAGACACUUUGUGAAAGUUAUAACAAGUAUUUUAUUCUGUUUACUGAUUGUAAAAGAUAAAAACCAUAGUUUUGUGGCUGCAUGAAGCUCACAAAUAGCCUAUCUGAAGAACACCCCACCCCCUCGGCUUUUCCCCCUUUAUCUGUCGGUGUGAUGAUUUCAUCUAAAAUGCUAUUUGAGUCCUCAGCCUCUAUCACUUGCUAACCAUGCAGUGUUUCAUUAUAUAAAGGUUUUUUAACAUUUAACAUGAAAAUACAGCGUUGACUGAGAUGUAACAUAAUAUGACCUUUUUAAAGGAUAUUCUGUAUGCAGUGAGGCCUAUUCGAAGCAUUAUGGUUUUUUUGCUUUUUUUUUUAAAGUUUAACAUGAAAAAGCAGUAUUUACCGAGCUGUAACAAAACAAGGCCACUCUUAGGGAUAUUUUGUAGAAGUUUAGUGAACUAAAAAGACUUAAGAUACUAGCCUAUAGUGUUUUUAGUAUAGCCUAACGCUAGCCUGUAGCUCACAAAAGCUUAUGCUCAAAUAAAUUGGUUAGUCUCUAAGGUGGCACAAGUCCUCCUUUUCUUUUUGCGAACACAGACUAACACGGCUGCUCCUCUGAAACUAGCCUAUAGUGUUUUUAAAGUACCAAACCAGCAAUUGGAUAGUACAGGCCUAUAGAAUAAGCAUUCCCCUCGGUUUCGGCAGUCCGUUGAGCAUCUGGUUUUGGGUCUGGGCAAAAACAGAUCGGGCCCAAUCCGCUCGGCCCUUUGGAGCUGUUGGGGUCCAGAACCUCCAAGUCCUCAGAAGAACCAUCGUUCAGCUGCUGAAAAAUUUACAGCUUGAUCGAAAAGGCUCCAGCCAACCGAGCCCCGGUGACCGGGUCCCUGCCAAACCAUCCCUUGAACGUUCUUACAUACAACGUACCUGUGCUUCAUCUCCGUACAGCCCUUUGUUUGAUUCAUUUGGGUUCUCCUGGCUGGGGUCUGGAGUCUCAAACAAAUCUUGGCCCAGCGAUCUGGCCUCGUGUUUCUCCAUCGCAUCGUUCUUGCGGGUACAGGUAUCAUUAGCGAUCCCUGUUUCCCCGCUCCCAUGACCCGUCUCAAACACUCUUCAGGGCCCAUAGUAGCAACCGUAUAACAACUCUUCAUGAGAGGCUUGACUGCCGGUGUUAGCCAGGGCCUUCUAGGUGCAGCCAUCUUUAAUCAUCAGACCCGUUUAAAUAGAAGCUCCUCCUUAUCUUAUCUUAUCUCUGAUCCACUGGUUCAAAAAGGCUGUUUUCGCUUACAGGGGCUUUGAUGCAAAAGCACGCUGCUUCAAAUUGUCCUCACUAAAAAUGACUAAUGUUAGUCUAAAACAUAGGGGAAAACUGUUUUAUCACUAUAAAUUACUUCCAUAAACAGGAUGAUUUGAUUGGGGAUUGGUCCUGCUUUGAGCAGGGGGUUGGACUAGAUGACCUCCUGAGGUCCCUUCCAACCCUGAUAUUCUAUGAUUCUAUGAUUCUCUGUGUUUGUAACCCUGGGAUGUUUCUGCGUUCUCACUUUUUAUUGAAAUGCAUAUGCAAAAGUGCUAAAUGAAGGAAUGUGUAUUCAGAUAGGCUUGUCUUUUAAAGUGUUUAUUCCUUUACAAAACUUAAUAUAACUUUCACUGGUAUUUGUUAAAAAGCAGGGGAAGAAACAAACUUCUUCUCUCUGAUCCACUGGUUUACAGAAUAAGGAAAAUAUAAACUGGCUGUUACUAAGGACCUGUGGUUUUAAACCUGAGGUGUUUCUGCAUGCUCUAUUUUAUUGAAACACACCUGUAAAAAAUGUUAAAUAAAGGGAUGUGUCUUCAGAUAGGUUUGUCUUUUAAAGUGUUUAUUCCUUUCCAAAACUUAAUAGAACUUUCACUUGUAUUUGUUAAAAAGUCCCAGGACCUCAGAAAGCACCUUAAUUUCCAAGCUAGACUAUUUCGCAACCGCCUGCUGAUGCAGAGCCCUCUGCACUGGAGGCGGCCAUGUGGGACUGGCAUUGCCAGGGGAGCCCCCAGGAGGAAUCCUGGAUGACUCAGCCAGAAUUUCUUCUAGUGGCUUCCAGGGUGCAUGUGGCCAAGGACUAGCUCCACCAGCCUCCGGCAGGGUCCGGUGAGCUCUCAGCUCACUUCCAGCUACCGCCCAUGGACGUGCUAGCAAGGAGCAAGGACUGCAUUCCCGGAUGAGAUUCUGGCCAGGCCCUGCUUCUGGAGCAGACCCUGGGGGAAGAACAUUGUGCCCUCCACCUGUCACACCCUUGCAGAGCUGGCCGUGGUGUGGCCCUAAGCAAAUAGUCAUGCAGCCAGCAGCAUGGUGAGAGAGAAGACAUGGUAGUGUGGAGAUGGACCUUAGCCAGACCUGCUAUCCUGAAUCCCCCAGGCUGUGGGGAACUUCGUACGCAGAUCCAAACUCUGCAGCUCUGGCUCUUCUCUGAUAGAUGGAUCGGAACCAGGGCUCUGGGGCCGCACUCCCUCUGGCUUUGAGGAAGGCAGGUCCAGAGUCUGUGGAACUCAGGCCCCAAGCCCCAGCACUCCCCCUUGUCUAACGCCCUGAAGCCUGGAGCCCUGACCCCCUCCACCCUGCAGCUGCAGCCCCAGUGCCCCUGUGGCUGAAGCCAGUACAGUAUUGGCUUUUUUUGUUGUUGUUGCCUGAUUGAGGACUUCCAUUUCCACAGGGUGUCAGGUUGACCGGUCAGUCCGUAACUGGUGUUCGUAUCUUUGAGGUUCUACUGUAUUUAAAUGAUC